CGAGGACCACCCUUCCCUCCCACGAGGGGAGUUUCCAGCCUGCUGCCUCCAGGCAUCCUGGGGAGAGGAAAAGAGCAACAACUGCCCUCAGCUGUCCCUUUUGCUCUGCCAGAAGACAGUGCAUACUUCCAGAAGUCAGUGCAACUCUACCAGCUGCUCAAAAUCAGAGAUGAAGCUGCCCUUGCAAACGCCCUUUCCAGCCUGGCUGUUGCCCUUGCUGGCAGGACCAGCCAACUGCUCAGCUGGGGAGCUGCAGGAGAUGUUGAUCUGUCCCAGGCCUCAGUAGGCAGCGUCACAUCAGAGGAAUCCAGACUCUUCUUUCCAAUUUACCUUGUUUUGGAAAUCUUCUGAGUGUUAUUAGAUUCUGUAAGACCUGACCUUUAAAAGUCAGGGGUGCAAUUAACCAAUCUGGCCAGCUCUGCAUCAGCAGCUCACGCUAGCCUGGAAGAGGCAGGCACCAGACAAUUCACUUCUGACUAAUGUUAUUAAAGAGGAACAGGAGGUGGACCCAGACGCUUUAAUUAAACUGCAGCAGGUCUGCUCAGCAGGCUGUUAUGAUUGAGUGCAAAGCAAAGAUACCUUGCAAAGUAUGCUAGAAACACAGGGCCUCAUCUAAUUAUGUUGCAUAGCCAUUUUUGUGCUGAUUUUCUGGCAGUGCCAGUUAUCCAGCUGGCAAAAGAAAGGAAAGGUAUCCAGAGACAUCCUCUGCUGCCAGCACUCUGGUUUGGAGGCCUCUACAUUGAUUCACUUUAUCAAAACUAGCGUAUUAAAUGCACAGCUAGAAUUAUAGGAAAAACAGUGUUACCAGGAGAUCACCUUCAUUAUGUGUGUGGGUGACUGCUCUGCUCUCACUUCUAUACCAGAAAUAACCUUGCAUAUAAAAGGUAUUUUCUCCACUCUGUUGGACUCUCUUUUUGUGGUGUAGGUGAAGACAUAGGUUUUAGAGCUUUUGGCCAUUGCUAAAUGGUCACUCCUCUCUUUCCAUGUCCCAUCUACUUUAGAUAUGGACUUGAACUGAAAACAGAAAUUCAUCAAAAAGAUGAAUCUUGGGGCUCUAUUUGGCUUUAUUAUUAUUAUUAUUAUUACUGGUAUGUCAGUUGGCUUGAAUUGCAGACUGCAUUUGUCUGUAUCAGGGUUUGCUGUCCUUUCCACUUGGGAUCUACUGACGUUUUUUGCUUCUUUCUCAACCUUUAUCUUGCUCACAGUGAAUUUCCUCUGGUUCCAAUGGUCCUUUUCUGUUAACACAUACAAACCUCUGACUUAAGGUCAACUACUUUUACUUGCAUCAGAUUGGUCAAGCCUAAAUGGCUAUUAUUUAGGCUGGUAACCUACCCACUCUGUAGCACAAACAUAAGUCAUACGUACUUGUAGUCCAUCGCUUUGACCAUUUAUUUUCUCUUAUUUCAUACUAAGAGAAGCAGACAAGAUUUCCUAACAGUUCACUGUGAAAAAACACAAGCUCUCAGCGCACUCACAGAGAUCCUUGGAAUGUCCCUAACCUGCCCUCCAGUAUGUCAAAAUGACCCUGCAUACUUAAGAAACCCAAAUAUCCAUAACAUUACUGGAACCUGAGUGUACGUGACGGAAAAAAAAAAAAAAAAAAAAAAAAAAAAAAAAAAGCAGGGAGGUGUUAACUCCCUGCAAUUCUUUAUCCAAUAGACAGAGACGAGGCCCUCCAGACUGUAAUUCAAUGCAGAAGUGUAAUUUUACAUUUUUGAUUUGCAUUACGAAAGACCAACCCUCUCCAUCUCUAUCAGUUAGAGAUCUUGGAAUAAUUAGUCUUGGAAGGCUAAAGCCAGCUGUUGUGAAUACGUCCCUAACAGCUUAGAUUUUAGCCUAAGCCUCUGAAUUUUCUUCCAUUUAUCUGGUCAUGCAAGUGAUCAACUAAACAUUUUUUUUGCACCUAGCUAAGUAGGCUAGUUAAAAGAGUUUUGUCAUUACUUUGCUUAGACUUAAGAACCUAAUCAAAAAUCAUUUCAAGUUUCCUAAUGAUUUUCAACUAAGCCUUUAAAUUAACCCUCCUUACUUCUCUUUCUCUAUUUGAGUACUGUUGGUAGAAUUAACAACCUAAAAAAAACCACUACUUUGACUUGCAGAAAAAUUGUUAUUAGUGACUACCUCCAAGUAAAAAAAAAAAACACCUUAACAAUUUUGUGUUUUCUCCUGAUUUAUGUCCAUGGUUUUUCACCUCUACUCUGCUGUCCCAUAUAAUGUAGUGCUGGUCACCCAAUUCUGUAUUAAUGAACAAAAUUUCCAAUUAUGUUAAAGAAGCUAUGGGAAUAUUAUAUAUAUGUAUAUGUAUAUGUAUAUGUAUAUGUAUAUGUAUAUGUAUAUGUAUAUGUAUGAAAAAACCUAUAAAGCGAAUUCUAAACUGGCA
This is a non-coding RNA of Anas platyrhynchos (mallard), 2377 nucleotides long. NCBI's taxonomy places the organism in Eukaryota, Metazoa, Chordata, Aves, Anseriformes, Anatidae. The record is from RefSeq and is a predicted model, not a curated record.